AUUGAACGCUGGCGGCAUGCUUUACACAUGCAAGUCGAACGGUAACAGGCCGCAAGGUGCUGACGAGUGGCGAACGGGUGAGUAAUGCAUCGGAACAUGCCCAGUCGUGGGGGAUAACGCAGCGAAAGCUGUGCUAAUACCGCAUACGAUCUAUGGAUGAAAGCGGGGGACCGUAAGGCCUCGCGCGAUUGGAGCGGCCGAUGUCAGAUUAGCUAGUUGGUGAGGUAAAGGCUCACCAAGGCGACGAUCCGUAGCUGGUCUGAGAGGACGACCAGCCACACUGGAACUGAGACACGGUCCAGACUCCUACGGGUGGCAG
Molecule: ribosomal RNA, 319 nt
Filed under: uncultured Pseudomonadota bacterium
Lineage: Bacteria; Pseudomonadati; Pseudomonadota
Description: bacterial SSU rRNA
Rfam family: Bacterial small subunit ribosomal RNA
Source: RNAcentral